UGCUCCCUUGAUUCAUAGAUGACAUCGUCCUGAAAACGAAGCGAAACUAACAUCAGAAGAUAAGAUUUCGAAUCGUUUAUCAGGAUGAUGUCAUUAUUGAAACAUUYMUUUUUGGUAAKG
This 120-nucleotide microRNA precursor is filed under the name Caenorhabditis remanei. RNAcentral describes it as "mir-59". The record is from RNAcentral. Lineage: Eukaryota; Metazoa; Nematoda; Chromadorea; Rhabditida; Rhabditidae.